UACAGAGGUCCCAAGCGUUGUUCGGAUUUAUUGGGCGUAAAGGGUGCGUAGGUGGCGCGCUAAGUCAGGUGUGAAAUUUCGGAGCUUAACUCCGAAACUGCAUUUGAUACUGGCGUGCUUGAGGACUGGAGAGGAGACUGGAAUUCAUGGUGUAGCAGUGAAAUGCGUAGAGAUCAUGAGGAAGACCAGUGGCGAAGGCGGGUCUCUGGACAGUUCCUGACACUGAGGCACGAAGGCCAGGGGAGCAAACGGG
RNAcentral lists this ribosomal RNA (253 nucleotides) under uncultured bacterium. Its description in RNAcentral is "partial 16S ribosomal RNA". It matches the Rfam family "Bacterial small subunit ribosomal RNA", at positions 524 to 776 of the family's 1533-position model. The record is from RNAcentral.